Molecule: long non-coding RNA, 943 nt
Organism: Labeo rohita (rohu)
Lineage: Eukaryota; Metazoa; Chordata; Actinopteri; Cypriniformes; Cyprinidae
Exons: 4
Source: RefSeq, a predicted model, not a curated record
CUGAUAGCUGCAGGGUGGAGAAACGUGUGCCGCUUAUUGAUAAGCAAAUGCACCAUGAUAACAUGCCACAGUAUGAGCUCAGUACAGAAGAGACACUUUUUCCACAGUGCUGGAGUGAACAUCGACCCUCUUCAGCUCAUCGCAAGAAUGAAGAAAACUAAAUGCAUGGCAGAUGAGCUGUGGAGUGUCACAAGCUGCAGGAGAAUUAACUGUUAAAAAUGACAAAGGAAGAAGAUGAGAGUCAAUCUAAUGAAUCGAGAGAGAAACAAACACUGAGACGAGUCCGGCGGAACAGCAUUAAUGGUGGAGUACCAAACUUUUGUAAUGGUUCGGACAGAGAUGAUUCAGCAGAGGUGCUCACAGAUGAGAAAGCUGCUUUUUCUUUCAUCUAAACCAGCAGGAAACUCUUCAUCAAAAAUGUAAUUAUACAAAAAAAAUUAUAUAUAUGCAAAGAUUAUACAAAACAACUGCACAAAAGUAAACAAAAAUGAUAUUACAAAAAAAUAAAUAAAAGAAAUAAGAAAUAAAAAAUCUUGAUAAAUAAACUACUUGUUUGUGUGUGUUUUUUCUUCAUAUUGUACUUUCUCGUUCAGUGACCUUAAAAUGAUGCAGGAAUUAUGAUCAGACAUGUAACACAUCUGCUCUGACAAAACUCUGUCAGGCUUAAAAAUAUAUAAUACAUAAGCAAUCAUGUGACGUAAUGUACAUUUAAUUUACUCUGUCUUUACACUGUACACUGUAACUAUACAUAUAUUUAUAGUAUAUGUAUAGUUACAUGUAUAGGUUUUAAAAAUUGUUUCUACGUCUAGUGUAUUUAUGUUCAUAUUUAUGUUUAUUUAUGUAGCACCGUGGUCCUGUGAGACACGACAUUUCAUUCCACUGUAUGUCCACACAUAUAGCAGAAUGACAAUAAAGCUUGACUUGACUUGACUGUGCAAACUCA